RNAcentral lists this long non-coding RNA (245 nucleotides) under Olea europaea (common olive). Its description in RNAcentral is "long non-coding RNA (OEUR_LNC009849)". The record is from RNAcentral. Lineage: Eukaryota; Viridiplantae; Streptophyta; Magnoliopsida; Lamiales; Oleaceae.
UUCAUUAUUUGUGCAGCCCUCAUAUGAAAUCAAAUGAGAUUCAGGCACGAUAAAACCCUAACCAACUCAUUACUUCUCCAACGCGACUCCAUCAAUCAUCACUGCUAACACUAUUAGAGACACAUGGACCCAUCGGUCACAAGUGAAGAAGCCUAUGGAAGUGUUCGUGAAUGGAAGGGGAUGAAGAGGAAGUGUGGCAUAGUUAAGGAAACAACAUGAGAUUAUUUUUCACAUAAAAAGAUACC